CCUACGGGUGGCUGCAGUGGGGAAUAUUGCACAAUGGGCGAAAGCCUGAUGCAGCAACGCCGCGUGAGCGAAGAAGGCCUUUGGGUCGUAAAGCUCUGUCGGGAAGGAAGAUAAUGACGGUACUUCCCGAGGAAGCCCCGGCUAACUACGUGCCAGCAGCCGCGGUAAUACGUAGGGGGCGAGCGUUAUCCGGAAUUAUUGGGCGUAAAGAGUGCGUAGGUGGUUUUUUAAGCGUGUGGUGAAAGGCAAUAGCUCAACUAUUGUAAGCCUCGCGAACUGGAAGACUUGAGUGCAGGAGAGGAAAGCGGAAUUCCUAGUGUAGCGGUGAAAUGCGUAGAUAUUAGGAGGAACACCAGUGGCGAAGGCGGCUUUCUGGACUGUAACUGACACUGAGGCACGAAAGCGUGGGGAGCAAACAGGAUUAGAUACCCCGGUAGUC
This 439-nucleotide ribosomal RNA is filed under the name uncultured Anaerovorax sp. RNAcentral describes it as "bacterial SSU rRNA". It matches the Rfam family "Bacterial small subunit ribosomal RNA", at positions 338 to 795 of the family's 1533-position model. The record is from RNAcentral. Lineage: Bacteria; Bacillati; Bacillota; Clostridia; Peptostreptococcales; Anaerovoracaceae.